GGGCCCUUAGCUCAGUAGGUAGAGCAACUGACUUUUAAUCAGUAGGUCGCUGGUUCGAACCCAGCAGGGCUCACCA
Molecule: transfer RNA, 76 nt
Filed under: Sphingorhabdus sp.
Lineage: Bacteria; Pseudomonadati; Pseudomonadota; Alphaproteobacteria; Sphingomonadales; Sphingorhabdaceae
Also listed under: 1 other name
Description: tRNA-Lys
Rfam family: tRNA
About the family: Transfer RNA (tRNA) molecules are approximately 80 nucleotides in length. Their secondary structure includes four short double-helical elements and three loops (D, anti-codon, and T loops).
Source: RNAcentral